Molecule: non-coding RNA, 654 nt
Organism: Peromyscus maniculatus bairdii (prairie deer mouse)
Lineage: Eukaryota; Metazoa; Chordata; Mammalia; Rodentia; Cricetidae
Source: RefSeq, a predicted model, not a curated record
UGACACCGCCGGCAGGUGGGCGGCUCUGGCGGCUGUUUCGGCCCAACCCCCAAGCUCACAGCCCAGUUCUCACCAGCAUGGAUCACUGACAGUGCCUUGAACCUUUCUCGCUAGCAGCCCACCAGUCCUACCUGGAGUCUGACUUUAGAUCCCCACUCUACAAUACAAACUCAAAGCCCCUGGGCCUCUUGAGAGAGGGAGAAAAUGAUCUGUCAAGACACAAAGAGAAAUGGCUCUCCUACUGCCAAGCCCCAGACCAUCCUAUAGAACUGGACCUGAGUUCACAUCACAGCUCCAGGGACCAACAGCUCCAAGUAUCUUUGGUUAAGGCACUGACAGCUGGGUACAGAAGUAGACCCCACACCCAGGAAGUAGUGGACAGAAGUGGAGGGUAGUGAUCCAGUGUCACAGAAAACACACUACAGAAGUGCUCCUCUCCAACCUUGGCCCAGCUGGGUUCCUCGGGUCAACGGAAGACUUGGGUGAGACUUCACUGGAUCAGACAGUGGAAGACUGGCAAUGUGUGACGACAAGAAAUGCAAUUUGCCCCCCAAGCCUCAACAUUCUCUUCUGUAAAUUGGCAUCAUAUUAGUUUGAACCAUGUGGAAUGGCUGUUUUUACAGGUUAAAAAAAUAAAAAAAUAAACCAGUUGAA